Molecule: unclassified non-coding RNA, 273 nt
Filed under: plant metagenome
Description: partial contains small subunit ribosomal RNA, internal transcribed spacer 1, and 5.8S ribosomal RNA
Source: RNAcentral
UUUCCGUAGGUGAACCUGCGGAAGGAUCAUUAACAAAAAAAUAAAAAUCCACCUUAGGAAAAAAUCCUGGAGAAGAAAUUCAAAGGGGCUUUUUCCUUAAGCAAACAGUGAACUUUGUUAAAGUUUCUAAUAAGAUCUACCGAAAGGUUGUAUCUUAUUUUAAAAACAAAACUUGUUUAAUUAUUUUGUCUUAUCCUUCUUAAACUGAAUUUACUUCAGAAAGAAUAUUUAAACCAAAAGUAACAACUUUUAACAACGGAUAUCUUGGCUCUU